This is a long non-coding RNA of Dendroctonus ponderosae (mountain pine beetle), 971 nucleotides long. RefSeq lists it as uncharacterized. The record is from RefSeq and is a predicted model, not a curated record. NCBI's taxonomy places the organism in Eukaryota, Metazoa, Arthropoda, Insecta, Coleoptera, Curculionidae. The transcript has 4 exons.
UUCAGAUGAUGGUGAUAAUAAUCAAACUUUUACCAAUAUAUUGAAUUUGUACAGUAUAUUUUCCUGUCUGCCUUAAUCCUGUUUUGCUCUGGGCUUACAUUGGAUGAUCCAGUUUAGAUAGUAUAAAAUUAGAGUUAAUUUGUUUAAAUAUUACUUUCUGGUGUUUUAAAGCUUUGUCACUGCAGAUAACUCAGAUUGGGCAAUAUACGUAUUGGAUUUUAAUAGACAUUUACAGUUAUAAUGAAUACUCUUAAAAUCUUAGCAUUUUUAGGCUGUUUUGCUGCAGGUACGGCCCAACCCGCUCAGAAUUCUGUACUUUGCUAUUUCUGCGAUCCCAUAGGCAAUAUUAAUAUACAGAGUUGUUCCGAACCCGGAAAUAGUCUGGUUCCAAUGAAUUGCUCUAUUGAUUCUGAAAAGCUCAGAGUUGGCUGCUAUUCUGAAUUUCUAAAUUACAAUAAGAACUAUUAAUUACACGUAAAUGGAAAUACAAAUUGGAAAACAAGAGACAGAUGAACCAAUUAACCCGAAGAAUUAUGAUUACAGCCUAUAAGGCGGGACCAAAACUGUAAAGUCAAACUUUCCUAAACUCUACACGUUAGAGAUGAAACACUACGAAAUUCUCUUGGGAGAGCCUGGAUGUUUAUGGAAAAAGUGAAUUUUGUCGUUAAAAUAGUUUGUUAUCAUAUUUCUUCUUAGCUCGGUCUAUAAAUAAGACAAAAACCUUCUUUAUAUCAAGCAUAAAUAAGUUGAAAUUUAAAUACAUGCUUUUCAGCUAUAACAUUAACUGGAAACAUUUUAAUAUCAGUUAUCAGUUAAUAUGGUUUCAAAGUAUUAUUUAAAAAUAUAUCCUUUAAACAACAAGUUUUAAAAUCAUGAAUUUGAAUAAAAGUCUUGCUUUGGGAGUUUUAGAAAUUCACGGCUAAGCAAUAUCUACUUAUUACCCAAAUAAUAAGAAGCAAAUAAGAGUCACU